ACCCGCACAAGCGGUGGAUGAUGUGGAUUAAUUCGAUGCAACGCGAAGAACCUUACCUACCCUUGACAUGUCCGGAACUUGCCAGAGAUGGCUUGGUGCCCGAAAGGGAAUCGGAACACAGGUGCUGCAUGGCUGUCGUCAGCUCGUGUCGUGAGGUGUCGGGUUAAGUCCCAUAACGAGCGCAACCCUUACCGUUAGUUACCAUCAGGUUAAGCUGGGGACUCUAGCGGGACUGCCACCGUAAGGUGAGAGGAAGUGGGGAUGACGUCAAAUCAGCACGGCCCUUAUGUCCAGGGCUACACACGUGUUACAAUGGCCAGUACAAAGGGCAGCUACCGGGUGACCGGAUGCUAAUCUCUAAAGCUGGUCUCAGUUCGGAUCGAAGUCUGCAACCCGACUUCGUGAAGCUGGAUUCGCUAGUAAUCGCGCAUCAGCCAUGGCGCGGUCGAAUACGUUCCCGGGCCUU
Molecule: ribosomal RNA, 466 nt
Filed under: uncultured Sphingobacteriales bacterium
Lineage: Bacteria; Pseudomonadati; Bacteroidota; Sphingobacteriia; Sphingobacteriales
Description: bacterial SSU rRNA
Rfam family: Bacterial small subunit ribosomal RNA
Source: RNAcentral